Molecule: ribosomal RNA, 402 nt
Filed under: uncultured bacterium
Lineage: Bacteria
Also listed under: 1 other name
Description: partial 16S ribosomal RNA
Rfam family: Bacterial small subunit ribosomal RNA
Source: RNAcentral
UGGGGAAUCUUGCGCAAUGGGCGAAAGCCUGACGCAGCCAUGCCGCGUGGAUGAUGAAGGUCUUAGGAUUGUAAAAUCCUUUCACCGGGGACGAUAAUGACGGUACCCGGAGAAGAAGCCCCGGCUAACUUCGUGCCAGCAGCCGCGGUAAUACGAAGGGGGCUAGCGUUGCUCGGAAUUACUGGGCGUAAAGGGCGCGUAGGCGGACAGUUAAGUUGGGGGUGAAAGCCCGGGGCUCAACCUCGGAAAUGCCUUCAAUACUGGCUGUCUUGAGUACGGGAGAGGUGAGUGGAACUCCGAGUGUAGAGGUGAAAUUCGUAGAUAUUCGGAAGAACACCAGUGGCGAAGGCGACUCACUGGCCCGUUACUGACGCUGAGGCGCGAAAGCGUGGGGAGCAAACA